CAGGGAAAGUGGGCGGGGCUAGGGGCGGGGCAUCGGCUAACUGACGCGAGCCCCCUCACCUCGCGAGAGUAGGCUCUGGACCGCCGCCCUCGGGUCACGUGGACAGCGAGCUGGCUCAGGCUAUUGACUUUUUCAAGAAUUAAAUUUGAUCCAAGUUUAUGGCGUGCUCCAGGUUCCCCCACGUUUUACCAUUUGAGAAAAGAGUCUGUAUGUGACCCAGACCUUGAACAUAAUCCCCUGACAGGUAGAUGGGGGCGGGGAAAGAUGGAGAGGAGCCGAGAGAGAGAAUAACCAAGACACACUUGGACGAAGGAAACAGGGCUUAUCUGGAGAUUUUACAGUACCAGAUGCUGCAAAGAGAAAAAGCAAAUAACUGCAUGAAUGCACUGUCUGGAAUAGCCAACAGACCUGCCUUCAAGUUCCUGGCUCAUCUCGCAGUGAUGGAUUGCAAGCCGGAAUUGUCAACCAAAUAAACCUUUCUCCCGGAUAUUGCUUUUUGUUACACUAUUUCAUCAACUGUGGCGUAGAAAAGUAUUUCAGACUCUCCCUAGAUGAUAAAACUGUGAAGCAGAAUUUGUUAAAAUAAAUAAUAGUAAAGAGCAUUGAAUCUGUGUAACUGCGUUGUUCACUCCUCAAUGGCCAGCUGCCCCGUGAACGUGGUGAAUAACUCUAGAACAAACCAGCAGCUGGACAAGGAGGGAGCAUAGUAUGAUGCUUGCAGGCACCUUUAUCUACAUCAGAGAGAAAAAAAAGUCUCCAAACCUUGAUCAUGAUCAUCAUGUCCACCAAUUCACCUGUCACAGGCUGUGAGGACAUGCUGUGAGUGGCUGGCCAGAACUGUAAAUCUUCAAAGACCUGAGAGCUGUCCAGACUCAUCUACAGAGAAUGCCCGUUCAUUCUCAGGCUACAAACUUGAAGGUUAUCAUAAUCCCUGGACCAUUCCAGCUGUGAACAUAGUGGAACAUGCCUAUUACUGAACAAAUCAGUCUCGUUUGCUGCUUGGGGCUAGAGAAUUUUGAGAGAGCUGGUUUUACAAAGCUUCCCCCAGAAAAUGCAGUCCACGUGACAAACUCCAGCCCUGAGUGAUUCAUUCCUCAGGGGCUUACCACACUAGAAGGGUUCCUGAUGCUUUCCAGGGUGUACCACAAGCCUUACUUUCAGAGAUUCGUUAGAUCAUAGCCACUCUAGUCGCACACACAAUAUUGCUUUUCUUCAACAUCAAGAAAAUGAAAAGUUGUAGGUUCCUUUCAGACUAACAUGCUUUGGUGAAUCCAGAACCCCUGAAGCAAUGGCCAGGUGAUCCAACACUGAAGACACCUGGGAAGAUGCAGUCAGACCACUACAGUCAGGAUUUCCAGGUCUUGUUAGGAUCCUCGUGGUAUUUCAGCGUCCCCAAUCAGCAGGAAGUAGUUUGGAAAGAAUGACGCCC
This 1429-nucleotide long non-coding RNA is filed under the name Cricetulus griseus (Chinese hamster). Its description in RNAcentral is "lncRNA (ENSCGRG00015043038.1)". The record is from RNAcentral. Lineage: Eukaryota; Metazoa; Chordata; Mammalia; Rodentia; Cricetidae.